UGUGCUGGAUAAUUGAACAAUAACAUUUUUCUACAUAGUUUAAUUAAACUAUUAGAUUAAUCCAAGUGGCUCUGGCCUAAUCGUUUUUAAUCAACCAUAGUUUUUUCAAUGGUUGAAUCCAGGCUAGUAGAAUAUUAAUAUGCACAGCCUUAACACAUUACGUGUGUAAUGGUCGUCAUAAGGGACAACUAUUACUGCUAAUUUAUUUUAUGCUUUUAUUCUCAACAAUAUAGGUGACUAGGCCUACACAUGAUGUAGCCAUAUCAUAUCCAUAGACUUGAGCAGUACACCUGUAGCAUGAUGGAAUUUCUAGCACAGGGGUGAAUUCAACGAGUGAAACUCUGAGGCUGUUCGAUUAAUCUAGCCCCGGCGCCCGUGUUUUGCAUCGGCUGAAAGUUGAUUGCAUUCGAUUUGGAACCGGGCUGCCUCCCAUGCAUGAGCCAAGUGCCCCGUUCAAUGCCCACGGCGAAAUCGGCUCAAACACGUAAUUAAGAACGUGUAGUAAUUAGUCGGAUCCUGUGUUUUCCCAUGCAGAGGUGAUUGCUUUCGAUUACUGUUCGAUUUGAGAAAGGCAUUCCCAUCUUGAUGCUUUUGCCCGAUGACGUGAAGGGCCUUUGCCUUGUGCCCGGUGGCACAGCAUAAUCGAAUCCGCUCAUUCAGAACAUUAUAGAUACAAAUGCUGAUGUCUGGAACGCCAUCUGAUUGGUGGCGCUUGUUACCAUGGUCCUGCGUAAAACAGAAGCUGUGAUUUAUUUACAGAGGCAAUUGCUUGCCUUUCCCACAUUUUCCUGCUAUCCUAAACAGCUUCAGACUGUUGCUGGCGACGGUAACGUUACUUUAUGGCUUUCUUCGGGAUAACGAAUUUGGGCUAUCAAAACCCCAUCGGAGACAAUAUGUUAUUGAGUCCGAGAUCGUCUGCUUUUCCUGGUGAUGAGGUGGAUUCAAGGAGCUGGGCUAAACAGUCAGGACUGCCCUCCAUCCAAGUCCAGAGGGGACCCCCAAAAUGCACUGAUACCCCCUUCAGCCCAGACCUACACCAAGGUAGCCAGGGGCGAUACAGAGAGAUGCUCAAACGGGUUCAGAUACCAAGAUGUAAGUUAGAUCCCCGAAUCAGCUGUACUCAGUGCCCCUGACAGACAGCCAGCAGUGUGGAUGGUGGAUGUCUAAUGGAGGCCAAGGAAAGAUGCAUGAACCCUGGACCCAAGUCAGACGAUUCGCCCGCAAGAACAGUGAGAUGACCAAGUUUGUGAAAGAGAUGUCAAUGACGGACCGAGAGUUCAGCUUAUUCUGAUUUCCACUCCUGCAGUAACAUACACACACACACAAAAUCCCAUCCAAAGACCUCUUAGACCUUUACACUGUAAGGACUAUUGUGGUUUAAUAAACUGGGACAUUUUCAUCAUAGCAUGUUAUUUAUUUUUGUGAGCUACUGUAUCAGGUUGUCAAUUGACCUCUGCCUUUCCACUGGUAAAAUUGAGCUGUUACCUCUCUCUAGAGGAAUACAAUUGUAAUGCCCAUGAGGAAAUAAGAGUAUAAGAGUAUUGUUUCAGUAAUUAGUUAUUGUUACUCAGUAAGGUCAUUCAUUCGACCUUGGGGAUAGUAACUGACUAUCUUCAAUCAGUUACGAUAUUAUGACUGAAAAGUGUCUAGCCAAAUAUUUGAUACGGCAUGUUUGUAUAUUUAGUAAAGCUUGUAUUUUGCAUACUUUCAGUACAUUAACUGAAUCAAUAAAAUGAUAACACGAGGAAAACAUUUACUUAUCUUUAACGUUUUUCUAAAUAAGCUAACAUUACAGUAUCAUUAAUAAUAUAUGAGGUCAAAGGAAUAUCCAGAUAUCACUUGCUUUCUGUCAGUACACUUUUGGCAGCAUAACCAGUUAUCCAUCACAUUUACCCCAUCCCCACCCUAACUCCUCCCUCAUCUUGUAGGCUCCUUCCCUGUGCUCGUGUACUGUAUGCAGUUUUCUUUAACUUGCUUGUCCCUUCCCAAUAUGCGUGUGUAAACUCCUGGAGUUUCUAUGUAAAUGUAAUGAUCUGUGAGAGAGGCACUCUACCUGAGAAACAAUGCUGUUUCUGAUUACAGGGUCAUUGAGUGAGUCAGUCAGCACUGAGCACACACACCAGUCUCAAUGGCGGGCUUGAACAAUUCAGAGGAUGUGGCUGUAACUACCUGGCGUCUG
Molecule: RNA transcript, 2179 nt
Organism: Oncorhynchus tshawytscha (Chinook salmon)
Lineage: Eukaryota; Metazoa; Chordata; Actinopteri; Salmoniformes; Salmonidae
Exons: 5
Source: RefSeq, a predicted model, not a curated record